UUUAAACACCGCCUCGCGUACGAACGCCGAAGUUAAGCAAUGUCGAGCCUGGUCAGUACCUAAAUGGAUGACCGCUUGACAAUACUAGGUACUGUAAG
Non-coding RNA from Acanthosepion pharaonis, 98 nucleotides. The record is from the annotation of a GenBank genome assembly. Lineage: Eukaryota; Metazoa; Mollusca; Cephalopoda; Sepiida; Sepiidae.